This 1372-nucleotide ribosomal RNA is filed under the name uncultured bacterium. RNAcentral's name for it is "bacterial SSU rRNA". It matches the Rfam family "Bacterial small subunit ribosomal RNA", at positions 28 to 1381 of the family's 1533-position model. The record is from RNAcentral.
GAUGAACGCUGGCGGCGUGCCUAAUACAUGCAAGUCGAGCGAACGGACGAGAAGCUUGCUUCUCUGAUGUUAGCGGCGGACGGGUGAGUAACACGUGGAUAACCUACCUAUAAGACUGGGAUAACUUCGGGAAACCGGAGCUAAUACCGGAUAAUAUUUUGAACCGCAUGGUUCAAAAGUGAAAGACGGUCUUGCUGUCACUUAUAGAUGGAUCCGCGCUGCAUUAGCUAGUUGGUAAGGUAACGGCUUACCAAGGCAACGAUGCAUAGCCGACCUGAGAGGGUGAUCGGCCACACUGGAACUGAGACACGGUCCAGACUCCUACGGGAGGCAGCAGUAGGGAAUCUUCCGCAAUGGGCGAAAGCCUGACGGAGCAACGCCGCGUGAGUGAUGAAGGUCUUCGGAUCGUAAAACUCUGUUAUUAGGGAAGAACAUAUGUGUAAGUAACUGUGCACAUCUUGACGGUACCUAAUCAGAAAGCCACGGCUAACUACGUGUCAGCAGCCGCGGUAAUACGUAGGUGGCAAGCGUUAUCCGGAAUUAUUGGGCGUAAAGCGCGCGUAGGCGGUUUUUUAAGUCUGAUGUGAAAGCCCACGGCUCAACCGUGGAGGGUCAUUGGAAACUGGAAAACUUGAGUGCAGAAGAGGAAAGUGGAAUUCCAUGUGUAGCGGUGAAAUGCGCAGAGAUAUGGAGGAACACCAGUGGCGAAGGCGACUUUCUGGUCUGUAACUGACGCUGAUGUGCGAAAGCGUGGGGAUCAAACAGGAUUAGAUACCCUGGUAGUCCACGCCGUAAACGAUGAGUGCUAAGUGUUAGGGGGUUUCCGCCCCUUAGUGCUGCAGCUAACGCAUUAAGCACUCCGCCUGGGGAGUACGACCGCAAGGUUGAAACUCAAAGGAAUUGACGGGGACCCGCACAAGCGGUGGAGCAUGUGGUUUAAUUCGAAGCAACGCGAAGAACCUUACCAAAUCUUGACAUCCUUUGACAACUCUAGAGAUAGAGCUUUCCCCUUCGGGGGACAAAGUGACAGGUGGUGCAUGGUUGUCGUCAGCUCGUGUCGUGAGAUGUUGGGUUAAGUCCCGCAACGAGCGCAACCCUUAAGCUUAGUUGCCAUCAUUAAGUUGGGCACUCUAAGUUGACUGCCGGUGACAAACCGGAGGAAGGUGGGGAUGACGUCAAAUCAUCAUGCCCCUUAUGAUUUGGGCUACACGCGUGCUACAAUGGACAAUACAAAGGGCAGCGAAACCGCGAGGUCAAGCAAAUCCCAUAAAGUUGUUCUCAGUUCGGAUUGUAGUCUGCAACUCGACUACAUGAAGCUGGAAUCGCUAGUAAUCGUAGAUCAGCAUGCUACGGUGAAUACGUUCCCGGGUCU